AGUUGUAUACAACACAGUUGAAGA
Molecule: small nuclear RNA, 24 nt
Filed under: Arabidopsis thaliana (thale cress)
Lineage: Eukaryota; Viridiplantae; Streptophyta; Magnoliopsida; Brassicales; Brassicaceae
Description: snRNA_11976
Source: RNAcentral